GACGAACGCUGGCGGCGUGCUUAACACAUGCAAGUCGAACGGUAAGGCCCUUUGGGGUACACGAGUGGCGAACGGGUGAGUAACACGUGGGUGAUCUGCCCUGCACUUCGGGAUAAGCCUGGGAAACUGGGUCUAAUACCGGAUAGGACCACUGCCUGCAUGGGUGGGGGUGGAAAGCUUUUGCGGUGUGGGAUGGGCCCGCGGCCUAUCAGCUUGUUGGUGGGGUGAUGGCCUACCAAGGCGACGACGGGUAGCCGGCCUGGGAGGGUGACCGGCCACACUGGGACUGAGAUACGGCCCAGACUCCUACGGGAGGCAGCAGUGGGUAAUAUUGCACAAUGGGCGCAAGCCUGAUGCAGCGACGCCGCGUGAGGGAUGACGGCCUUCGGGUUGUAAACCUCUUUCAGCACCGACGAAGCGCAAGUGACGGUAGGUGCAGAAGAAGGACCGGCCAACUACGUGCCAGCCGCCGCAGUAA
RNAcentral lists this ribosomal RNA (478 nucleotides) under uncultured bacterium. RNAcentral describes it as "partial 16S ribosomal RNA". It matches the Rfam family "Bacterial small subunit ribosomal RNA", at positions 28 to 523 of the family's 1533-position model. The record is from RNAcentral.